This is a long non-coding RNA of Diachasmimorpha longicaudata, 2554 nucleotides long. RefSeq lists it as uncharacterized. NCBI's taxonomy places the organism in Eukaryota, Metazoa, Arthropoda, Insecta, Hymenoptera, Braconidae. The transcript has 3 exons. The record is from RefSeq and is a predicted model, not a curated record.
CACAUGCUGCGGUUGUGUGUGUGUUUGUGUAAUGAUAGUUAAGGGAUUAUAGUAAUAAAUUGAGUCAGAUUGCUCGGCUACCUGGAUCGUUGGGGUAAUUGACAUUCUUCGUUGAGUGUCAAAUGUGAUUGCGACUAGUGAACUGCCAUGACAUUACAUUUUUGUUGACGUUUUUGAAGAUUCGUUUUUGGCUUUGUCUUUGCUUUCUCGUGGAAUGUAACAGAAUGUUGUAGCGGAAUUAAAAAAAAGAAGAGAACUGUAUCGUCUAAUUGCCGGAACGAGCGCAACGAGGUCGAGUGAUUGGCGACCACGUCUUUUCUGCCCGUUGGGACCUAAAGAAGAAAUCAUACUUCCAACUAAAGCAUCGUGCAUCGUUCCGGGACCCAUUGCAUCCGGAAGAAUUAAACUGCCGGGAAUAGAGGCUCGCAAUCAAAACGACUGCUAAUUGACCCUACUAAUCCCUUUGUCUGCGACUGUAGCUUCUACACUGCACAGCAUUCACACUCCUAUAUAAAAUAGGACUCGACAUGGGAAACCACAGGAAAAAUUCAUACAGGAGGCGACUGCCCUACCGACACUCCUCCGCUCGUUGGAGCCUCAAGUUACGAAAAAUUCGCUUCCGCUGGGAUUCGAACUCACAACCUUCCGCACACUAGGCUCGCGCCUAGCCGCUUCGGCCACCGACAUUAGUCUAUUAUUUUUUGCAAUCUGCAAAUUGAUCAUAUGAUCAUUAUGGCGCUGACUAUUGUUGUUUUGCAGUCGUAAAGUCUGCCAAUUAAUUUAAGGGUUGGCUCAUUCGAAUUGUACUUUAUUGGAAUUUUGGGAGUGGGGAGAGAUUUAGCUCAGCUUUUAGUCGUGCGGCCUAAUACUUAUGACAGCCCAUUUGAAAAAAUCUCCCAUGGAGAAUAUACGGUAAUGCCGCGUUUUACGAUAUAGUUCAAGGAUAUUUGUGAUACUUCGCCCACAAAUCAAAUAUAUGGCCCAUAUAAUUUACAAUGCAGUCUCGAAUUCAUUAAAGUUGUUAUGCUUGGAGAACAUAUAUAUUCCCAUGUCAAUGCAUGUGGAGUAGUCGUCCCAUAUCUUUCAAUAUAGUCCACACUGAAACUCCAUCGCAUUCACCUUGGAAUGAAGAUCCAUGAGACAGGUAAUGAACUAAGUUUUUUAUUUUUUCUUAUCGUAGAAAGAUGUCUCAUAAAUUUCAUUGAAUUGAUGAAGGGCCACGACAAUAAAGAACUCUUUCUGUGUGAUUUUUCGAAGCUCAUAAACGCGAGAAAUAUUAUUGAGUGUCAUGACAUCAAAUGUCAAUGUUGACCGACAACAUCGAGACUAUGCUGCAGUGCCCAUUCGUUUCCUUUCCUUUCCUUCGGUUCGUUUAAUUUUUGCUUCCGAAUGGAAGUUUUCGUAUAUUUGUAGCAGAGCCAACAAUAUUUCAUCAGUAGGAAAUGACAGUAAAUACUGCUAUUUUGCGAAUAGAUGUACAUAUUUACUAUAUAUAUUUUUAUUCUCGUCACAUUAUUUCCCACAAGGAAAAUUAAUUUCAAUGAAAUGAAAUAUCAUCUUGAAGAAUUUAAGAUAGAACUUGUUUGCGAAAUCAUAUUACAUGAAUUUGAUUGAAUUUGUGGUGCAAUAUUGAUGAUAUCAAUGAGUACUGAUAAUAUUUACUGAUAAUAUCUAUCUUGACAUUGAAGUCUUUAUUUUUUAUGAUUAUUUUUCCCACCCAAAUUUCAGCCAAUAGAAUUGCACCAUUUGUUGAUAUUUUGUAUAGCCUACCUCGAAUAUCAGCGAUUAUUUUUCCCAUCCAAAUCUUGGCCAAUAGGAUUGCACCAUUCGACGUUAUUUUGUAUAGUCAACACGGUAUUUCAGCGGAUAUUCUUGAAAAUUACACUGGAAAUUUUGCAUGUUGAUAUAUAUAAAAAAAAACAAAUGUUGAAGUAACCCUCAAUUGUAUCUGACAGAUUAAAUGGCAAUUCGUUAAAAAUUAUGUCUCAUGGUGCAAUUCUAUCGGCCAACAUUUGGAUGCAAAAAAUAAUCCCCCGAAUACCACUCGAACUUCGAAAUUAUCUGAUAUUUCCCUCAAGGUUCCCUGCAAACAAAUAAGCUCGUCAAGUUUUCCAGAAAAAUCACUCGCGCUUCGCGCUCGUGAUUUUAAAACUGGAAAACUUGACACGUUCAUUUGUUUGCAACGAACCUAUCGGGAAAUAUCCGAUAAUUUCGGAGCUCUUGUGGUAUUACAUGCGAUAAUUUUUUGAAUAUUUUGGUAAACAAACGACACUUAACCAAAUAAACCUCUUUUCAUGUCAUGGCACAAUUCUCUUGGCCGAAAUUUGGAUAGGAAAAAUAAUCCCCUGAAUACCACUCGAGCUUCAAAAUUAUAGAAUAUUUCCCUCUAGGUUCCCUGCAUACAAAUGAAGUCGUCAAGUUUUUCAGGAAAAAUCACUCGUGCUUCGCACUCGUGAUUUUUUAGCCUGAAAAACUUGACUCCUUCAUUUGUUUGCAACGAAUCUAUCGGGAAAUAUUCGAUAAUUUUGAACCACUUGUGGUAUUAUAUGUGAAU